This 253-nucleotide ribosomal RNA is filed under the name uncultured bacterium. Its description in RNAcentral is "partial 16S ribosomal RNA". It matches the Rfam family "Bacterial small subunit ribosomal RNA", at positions 524 to 776 of the family's 1533-position model. The record is from RNAcentral.
UACGUAGGGUGCAAGCGUUGUUCGGAUUCAUUGGGCGUAGAGGGUGCGUAGGCGGCGGGGCAAGUCUGAUGUGAAAUCCCGGGGCUCAACCCCGGAACUGCAUUGGAUACUGCCUUGCUAGAGUACUGGAGAGGGAACUGGAAUUUACGGUGUAGCAGUGAAAUGCGUAGAGAUCGUAAGGAAGGCCAGUGGCGAAGGCGAGUUCCUGGACAGUUACUGACGCUGAGGCACGAAGGCCAGGGGAGCAAACGGG